UACGAAGGGGGCUAGCGUUGCUCGGAAUCACUGGGCGUAAAGCGCACGUAGGCGGCUUUCUAAGUCAGGGGUGAAAUCCUGGAGCUCAACUCCAGAACUGCCUUUGAUACUGUAAAGCUUGAGUUCGGGAGAGGUGAGUGGAACUGCGAGUGUAGAGGUGAAAUUCGUAGAUAUUCGCAAGAACACCAGUGGCGAAGGCGGCUCACUGGCCCGAUACUGACGCUGAGGUGCGAAAGCGUGGGGAGCAAACAGG
This 253-nucleotide ribosomal RNA is filed under the name uncultured bacterium. Its description in RNAcentral is "partial 16S ribosomal RNA". It matches the Rfam family "Bacterial small subunit ribosomal RNA", at positions 524 to 776 of the family's 1533-position model. The record is from RNAcentral.